Molecule: long non-coding RNA, 712 nt
Organism: Rhagoletis zephyria (snowberry fruit fly)
Lineage: Eukaryota; Metazoa; Arthropoda; Insecta; Diptera; Tephritidae
Source: RefSeq, a predicted model, not a curated record
UUAUCAGUUUUCUUUUGUGAUUUUCUCCAAAAUCGGAUGAAAACAAUAACAAAAGUUAGCGCAGGAGAUAAAUAUAUAUGAUAAUGCAUUUGUGUGGUUGUAAUAGAGCUGGAGUGAGCGAGAGGGAGCAAACGACAAUCGGACAAAACCAAAGAAAUAAAUAAAAACAAAGUACCAAAAAGGAGGAAGACAGAUAGGAGAAAAGAAUAAUUUUGGGACUAAAAAGAAAUGAAAUUAAAAUUUGUAGUGUGAUUACAUGAAAGUGAGUGAAGAAAUCAGCUAAAAACGUUAAGUGGAAUUAGUAGUGGUUUAAAGUACGCAAUAUCUUUUAAAUAUAUAAUUGCAAAUACAGCAAUUAAAAAUACAAACGGACAUCGAAACAUAAAAAAAGAACAGAAAUAAGAGAAAAUUCGGUGAAAUAUUCAUAUACAGCAAGGGAAUCUCAAAGCAAAAACAAAGGAGGUGCAUAAAGUAAAUUGGCGACGACGCUUUCUUUCCUGUUAAAAUAAAUUACAAAACAAAGGCAUAACAACCUACAUACAUACAUACAUACAUACUAUAAGCAAUUCAGUUGCGCGAGACAACUUAUUUUGGAAUAAAGAAACGACUUGCUAUACAUAGCAACCGCGCGACGCCCCUGUUAGAUUCGCUGACGGACACUGUCCACUGUCGGUGCGUAAUCAUAAUAAUAUGCAAUAUAAAAUUUUCCGCU